Molecule: ribosomal RNA, 376 nt
Filed under: uncultured bacterium
Lineage: Bacteria
Description: bacterial SSU rRNA
Rfam family: Bacterial small subunit ribosomal RNA
Source: RNAcentral
UACGAAGGGUGCAAGCGUUACUCGGAAUUACUGGGCGUAAAGCGUGCGUAGGUGGUUCGUUAAGUCUGUCGUGAAAGCCCCGGGCUCAACCUGGGAAUGGCGAUGGAAACUGGCGAGCUAGAGUGCGGUAGAGGGCGGUGGAAUUCCCGGUGUAGCAGUGAAAUGCGUAGAGAUCGGGAGGAACAUCAGUGGCGAAGGCGGCCGCCUGGACCAGCACUGACACUGAGGCACGAAAGCGUGGGGAGCAAACAGGAUUAGAUACCCUGGUAGUCCACGCCCUAAACGAUGCGAACUGGACGUUGGGUGCAAUUGAGCAUUCAGUGUCGAAGCUAACGCGUUAAGUUCGCCGCCUGGGGAGUACGGUCGCAAGACUGAA